Molecule: ribosomal RNA, 253 nt
Filed under: uncultured bacterium
Lineage: Bacteria
Description: partial 16S ribosomal RNA
Rfam family: Bacterial small subunit ribosomal RNA
Source: RNAcentral
UACGUAGGGUCCGAGCGUUGUCCGGAAUUAUUGGGCGUAAAGAGCUUGUAGGCGGUCUGUCGCGUCUGCUGUGAAAAUCCGGGGCUCAACCCCGGACUUGCAGUGGGUACGGGCAGACUAGAGUGUGGUAGGGGAGACUGGAAUUCCUGGUGUAGCGGUGAAAUGCGCAGAUAUCAGGAGGAACACCGAUGGCGAAGGGAGGUCUCUGGGCCACUACUGACGCUGAGAAGCGAAAGCAUGGGGAGCAAACAGG